AGCUUGCUCCUGGAUUAGUGGCGAACGGGUGAGUAACACGUGAGUAACCUGCCCUUAACUCUGGGAUAAGCCUGGGAAACUGGGUCUAAUACCGGAUAUGACUCCUCAUCGCAUGGUGGGGGGUGGAAAGCUUUUUGUGGUUUUGGAUGGACUCGCGGCCUAUCAGCUUGUUGGUGAGGUAAUGGCUUACCAAGGCGACGACGGGUAGCCGGCCUGAGAGGGUGACCGGCCACACUGGGACUGAGACACGGCCCAGACUCCUACGGGAGGCAGCAGUGGGGAAUAUUGCACAAUGGGCGCAAGCCUGAUGCAGCGACGCCGCGUGAGGGAUGACGGCCUUCGGGUUGUAAACCUCUUUCAGUAGGGAAGAAGCGAAAGUGACGGUACCUGCAGAAGAAGCGCCGGCUAACUACGUGCCAGCAGCCGCGGUAAUACGUAGGGCGCAAGCGUUAUCCGGAAUUAUUGGGCGUAAAGAGCUCGUAGGCGGUUUGUCGCGUCUGCCGUGAAAGUCCGGGGCUCAACUCCGGAUCUGCGGUGGGUACGGGCAGACUAGAGUGAUGUAGGGGAGACUGGAAUUCCUGGUGUAGCGGUGAAAUGCGCAGAUAUCAGGAGGAACACCGAUGGCGAAGGCAGGUCUCUGGGCAUUAACUGACGCUGAGGAGCGAAAGCAUGGGGAGCGAACAGGAUUAGAUACCCUGGUAGUCCAUGCCGUAAACGUUGGGCACUAGGUGUGGGGGACAUUCCACGUUUUCCGCGCCGUAGCUAACGCAUUAAGUG
RNAcentral lists this ribosomal RNA (777 nucleotides) under Arthrobacter sp. SC5s4.1. RNAcentral's name for it is "bacterial SSU rRNA". It matches the Rfam family "Bacterial small subunit ribosomal RNA", at positions 77 to 866 of the family's 1533-position model. Lineage: Bacteria; Bacillati; Actinomycetota; Actinomycetes; Micrococcales; Micrococcaceae. The record is from RNAcentral.